This is a long non-coding RNA of Columba livia (rock pigeon), 782 nucleotides long. RefSeq lists it as uncharacterized. Lineage: Eukaryota; Metazoa; Chordata; Aves; Columbiformes; Columbidae. The transcript is spliced from 4 exons. The record is from RefSeq and is a predicted model, not a curated record.
AUCACGGGGGAGCUGGCAGUGGACAGCCCUGGGCCGGUGAAGCAGUAAGAAAACAUCUCUUCCUAGAAAGAGGGUCUUCAAUCAGCUCACAGCAACAGUGGCAUCAAACCUUCUGAUCUUGAGCUUUACAGUGGUACCUGUGAGCCAGUCAUAAAAUGGAAAUCUAUGCUGCAUGCUCUGCCAUACACCAAGUGACUCCUGACAGAAAUUUUUCUUCAGACAAACAGCAGAGGAUUAUCAAAGGCAAACAACCAAAAGAGAAAGUUCAAAUACUGUGACUGAGAUACCACGUUCUGAGGUGCAUCUAUGAAGCUGCCCAAACAAGCUGAGUUUGUGAUGCUACUUUUCCAGCAAAGCAGAAGAGGUGUUCACUAGACUUGAGUACCCAAACGAAAUUGCGGUUCUGCAAAUUCAAAACAGUCCUCACCAUCUAGAAAAUACGGGAUACCUAGAGAUUGAAUGACAAACUAAGUCUUUCAACAUCAGCCCUGGCAAAGCAUUUUCCUUGGGCCAGAAGAAAACCACGAUGACAUUACCUGAAAGUCCAUGUGGCCAAAUUAUUGGGAGAAUCUUUCACACCACAAGGAAGUACCCAGUACAUACCCUGGAGCAAUACUAUACAUGCCUCAUGGAAAGCAGAGAAGCAACAAUAAAAACUGUCCAUAAGAGCAAUGUGUCAAUACUCAGAGCCUUCGCUAUGAUGAGAUGUUAUCUACAAGAUGAGAAGGUGCUCACAGUGUGCAGAAGUGAUAUCAACAGACCCUGAAAAGUAUUUAUGAACU